RNAcentral lists this transfer RNA (76 nucleotides) under Coendou insidiosus. RNAcentral describes it as "tRNA-Leu". It matches the Rfam family "tRNA". From Rfam's summary of the family: Transfer RNA (tRNA) molecules are approximately 80 nucleotides in length. Their secondary structure includes four short double-helical elements and three loops (D, anti-codon, and T loops). Further hydrogen bonds mediate the characteristic L-shaped molecular structure. tRNAs have two regions of fundamental functional importance: the anti-codon, which is responsible for specific mRNA codon recognition, and the 3' end, to which the tRNAs corresponding amino acid is attached (by aminoacyl-tRNA synthetases). tRNAs cope with the degeneracy of the genetic code in two manners: having more than one tRNA (with a specific anti-codon) for a particular amino acid; and 'wobble' base-pairing, i.e. permitting non-standard base-pairing at the 3rd anti-codon position. The record is from RNAcentral. Lineage: Eukaryota; Metazoa; Chordata; Mammalia; Rodentia; Erethizontidae.
GUUAAGGUGGCAGAGCCUGGUAAAUUGCACAAAACUUAAAACUUUGUCAUCAGAGGUUCAAUUCCUCUCCUUAACA